GGAUUGAAAAUAUCCAAGAAACUUCUACUGAACUAGGGACAGUUUGGAGACAAGAUCCCAAGCAUUACAGCAAAGUGCACAAAGUUCAAGACAAGCAUUUUUGGCAAAAAAAUCUACCAGUGCCAUGUUGAACUCACACUAAUGCACUUAGGGAAUUCUAAUUUUAAAACUCAGUUGACUUCAGCAUUCAUUCAAAUUAAUUUAUAAUCCAUGCUGCACCCAUAAGAAGUAAAGUUCGGAGUAGCAAGAUUCUAAGAAAGCUAACCUCUUUCUUGUUCUGUUUCAG
RNAcentral lists this unclassified non-coding RNA (286 nucleotides) under Hevea brasiliensis (rubber tree). Lineage: Eukaryota; Viridiplantae; Streptophyta; Magnoliopsida; Malpighiales; Euphorbiaceae. The record is from RNAcentral.